Molecule: non-coding RNA, 85 nt
Organism: Felis catus (domestic cat)
Lineage: Eukaryota; Metazoa; Chordata; Mammalia; Carnivora; Felidae
Source: Rfam
GCCUGGGUGGCUCAGUCGGUUAAGCAUCUGACUUCAGCUCAGGUCAUGAUCUCACCACCUGUGAGUUCGAGUCCCACAUCGGACU